RNAcentral lists this long non-coding RNA (4399 nucleotides) under Salmo salar (Atlantic salmon). RNAcentral's name for it is "lncRNA (ENSSSAG00000113808.1, ENSSSAG00000114798.1)". Lineage: Eukaryota; Metazoa; Chordata; Actinopteri; Salmoniformes; Salmonidae. The record is from RNAcentral.
CAGAGAGGUACUGGAUCUGGCCGAAUGGGUUCUGGAACAAAACAGUCCAAAACGGAGAGGUGCCGGAUCCUGUUCUGGCAAGAUCCUGCUCAAAUUAAGCACUGGUGGUAGGCUAUGUAUUGUACAAGGAUACAAUCAUUUUUAUUCCUUUUUUUUUUUUUAACACUUGGGCUCGUAAGUCUAUGCAUAUAGAAUCCUUAAUAUGCAUAUGGGUGUUUUGAAUUAAUCAUCACCUUGACAGCUGUCUAUUUCGUUGUGCUAGGUUUGGAAAUUUUAACAAUUACCGUGUUUUACUCUGUUUCAACCUUCUAAUCAUCACAGUGAGGGGAGUUUUAAAAGCAUGAUACUGUUUUGAUGAUAAGUGUUUGAUGUGAUUUUAGAUUGUAUUUGCAUUGAUGUCCGAGUGGUUAGAGGAACAAUAAAGCCCUGAGUACCAGGCCAUAGGACCUGAUUGGUCAUUAGCAAAUGACAUACUACCAAAGCAUGUCCAGAGUGCAUAACAGGGGAUUACAUGGUCACAUGGAAUUUUACUGCGGACAUGACUUAUGAUUGACAGACUGAUGGUCUUUCUGCAAUCUGGUGCAGUAAUGCUUAUUUCUGGACACAGUCCCUCCUUUAACUCUAUCUUGCUUCACUCCUCUUCUCACUCUCUCUAAUUUUUCUCCUUUUACUUUGUCCAAUUUCCAUCCUGUUAUCCUCUUGCACCCAUCUGUCCUUUCCUUUCCCUCUCCUCUCCUUUCUCAGUUGUACUUGCUCAACUUCUGCAUCCUCUCUCCUCCGUCCUCUCUCGCCCUUGAUUCGAAAAAGGUCAAAGGAAAUCCAGGAGAGGCGGCCAGUAGAAGGAAUGUGGACGGAAAUGUGCUUGUAUGAAAUGACACUCCACUCCACUUGCACAAAUUACAUGUACGUGGUGAAAUAACAAAAUAAAUGUCAUAAAACAAAUGUAGCUAGUUGUUGAAGACAUUUUAUAGAUAAAAGAAUAAGUAGCAUAUCGUUUGCAUGAUUUUCUCCUUCGAGAACACAAUUCUUCAAAGGACUCAGAUAGGAUACACAUGACUAUCCUCGAUGAAAGGUGGCUAUCGAAGAGGGGAGGACACUCUUCCAACUAAAAAAUGUACAUUCUCCUCCACCACUUAUCGGUUUCUGGGUCAAGGAGGAGAGAGGAUGAAGGACGGACUUUUGGCCAAAUGAAAAAAGGCCCUAAUGUUAGACAUCUGAUGAUCCAAAAAGGCAAGAGGCCUGUAUAUUGCAGAGAUAAUUCUUAGUAAACUAUACAGGCCUACAAACAUUUAGAGGCAAGAGCAGAUCAUAACAUUAGGUUGCAGCAGACCGCAUAACAUUAGGUUGCAUCAGAUCAGCAUAACAUUUAGGUUGCAUCAGUUCAGCAUAACAUUAGGUUGCAGCAGAUCAUAACAUUAGGUUGCAUCAGACAGCAUAACAUUUAGGUUGCAUCAGUUGAGCAUAACAUUAGGUUGCAGCAGAUCAUAACAUUAGGUUGCAUCAGAUCAGCAUAACAUUAGGUUGCAUCCGUUCAGCAUAACAUUUAGGUUGCAUCAGAUCAGAAUAACAUUAGGUUGCAUCAAUUCAGCAUAACAUUAGGUUGCAGCAGAUCAUAACAUUAGGUUGCAGCAGAUCAUAAUAUUAGGUUGCAGGAGAUCAUAACAUUAGGUUGCAGGAGACAGCAUACCAUUAGGUUGUAGCAGAACAACAUAACAUUAGGUUGCAUCAGUUCAGCAUAACAUUAGGUUGCAGCAGACAGCAUAACAUUAGGUUGCAGCAGAUCAUAACAUUAGGUUGCAUCAGACAACAUAACAUUAAGUUGCAGCAGCCAGCAUAACAUUAGGUUGCAGCAGGGAGCAUAACAUUAGGUUGCAGCAGACAGCAUAACAUUAGGUUGCAGCAGACAACAUAACAUUAGGUUGCAGCAGCCAGCAUAACAUUAGGUUGCAGGAGACUACAUAACAUUAGGUUGCAUCAGAAAGCAUAACAUUAGGUUGCAUCAGUUCAGCAUAACAUUAGGUUGCAGGAGAACAACAUAACAUUAGGUUGCAGCAGACAGCAUAACAUUAGGUUGCAUCAGUUCAGCAUAACAUUAGGUUGCAACAGACUGCAUAACAUUAGGUUGCAGCAGACAGCAUAACAUUAGGUUGCAGCAGAUCAUAACAUUAGGUUGCAGCAGAACAACAUAACAUUAGGUUGCAGCAGACAGCAUAACAUUAGGUUGCAUCAAAACAGCAUAACAUUAGGUUGGAGCAGACAGCAUAACAUUAGGUUGGAGCAGAUAGCAUAACAUUAGGUUGCAGCAGAUCAUAACAUUAGGUUGCAUCAGUUCAGCAUAACAUUAGGUUGCAGCAGACCGCAUAACAUUAGGUUGCAGCAGACCGCAUAACAUUAGGUUGCAUCAGACAGCAUAACAUUUAGGUUGCAUCAGUUCAGCAUAACAUUAGGUUGCAUCAGACAGCAUAACAUUAGGUUGCAUCAGAUCAUAACAUUAGGUUGCAUCAGAUCAUAACAUUAGGUUGCAUCAGACAGCAUAACAUUAGGUUGCAUCAGACAGCAUAACAUUAGGUUGCAUCAGACAGCAUAACAUUUAGGUUGCAUCCGUUCAGCAUAACAUUAGGUUGCAUCAGUUCAGCAUAACAUUAGGUUGCAUCAGUUCAGCAUAACAUUAGGUUGCAUCAGACAGCAUAACAUUAGGUUGCAUCAGUUCAGCAUAACAUUUAGGUUGCAUCAGAACAGCAUAACAUUAGGUUGCAUCAGACAGCAUAACAUUAGGUUGCAUCAGAUCAUAACAUUAGGUUGCAUCAGACAGCAUAACAUUAGGUUGCAUCAGAUCAUAACAUUAGGUUGCAUCAGUUUCAGCAUAACAUUUAGGUUGCAUCAGACAACAUAACAUUAGGUUGCAUCAGACAGCAUAACUUUAGGUUGCAUUAGAUCAGCAUAACAUUAGGUUGCAUCAGAUCAGCAUAACAUUAGGUUGCAUCAGAAAGCAUAACAUUAGGUUGCAGGAGAUAGCAUAACAUUAGGUUGCAUCAGUUCAGCAUAACAUUAGAUUGCAUCAGAAAGCAUAACAUUAGGUUGCAUCAGAUCAGCAUAACAUUAGGUUGCAUCAGAUCAGCAUAACAUUAGGUUGCAUCAGAUCAGCAUAACAUUAGGUUGCAUCAGAAAGCAUAACAUUAGGUUGCAGCAAGACUCAUAUGUCUGAUGAUGAAAGGGAAAUCCCAGUCUAGUUUCAUAAAAAUUAUGGUUAAUGCUGUCUCUUUUUCUCUCUUUCCCCCUCUCUUUCUCUCUCUCCCCCUCUCUCUCCCUCUCUCUCUCUCUCUCUCUCUCCUUCUCUCUCUCCCCCUCUCUCUCACUUUCACUCUCUCUCCCUCUCUCUCCCCCUCUCUCGUUUUGUGAUUAUAAAACAUUGUUUAGAAGAAGGCGAAGUUAUUUAACAAGGUUAGUAGGUGACUCAGCCGUGACACUUAUUCUAAUGAGAAAAUCAUUUAAAAUAAGAGAUAUCCCUCAAUACGAGACUGACAAUAUAUCUCAUUCUAUUUAGGCUUUUUCCCUCAAAACCAGAGUGACAAUAUAUCUCAUUCUAUUUAGGCUUUUUCCCUCAAAACCAGAGUGACAAUAUAUCUCAUUCUAUUUAGGCUUUUUCCCUCAAAACCAGAGUGACAAUAUAUCUCAUUCUAUUUAGGCUUUUUCCCUCAAAACCAGAGUGACAAUAUAUCUCAUUCUAUUUAGGCUUUUUCCCUCAAUACCUGAGUGACAAUAUAUAUCAUUCUAUUUACGCUUAAUCCCUCAAAACCAGAGUGACUGUAAGGGUCCUGUGUGUAGCUGGUGUAGAGAGUCAGGCGCAGGACAGCAGAUAUCAGUAGAACAACACCAGGUCUGUAAGGUCCUGUGUGUAGCUGGUGUAGAGAGUCAGGCGCAGGACAGCAGAUAUGAGUAGAACAACACCAGGUCUGUAAGGGUCCUGUGUGUAGCUGGUGUAGAGAGUCAGGUGCAGGACAGCAGAUAUGAGUAGAACAACACCAGGUCUGUAAGGGUCCUGUGUGUAGCUGGUGUAGAGAGUCAGGCGCAGGACAGCAGAUAUGAGUAGAACAACACCAGGUCUGUAAGGGUCCUGUGUGUAGCUGGUGUAGAGAGUCAGGCUCAGGACAGCAGAUAUGAGUAGAACAACACCAGGUCUGUAAGGGUCCUGUGUGUAGCUGGUGUAGAGAGUCAGGUGCAGGACAGCAGAUAUGAGUAGAACAACACCAGGUCUGUAAGGUCCUGUGUGUAGCUGGUGUAGAGAGUCAGGUGCAGGACAGCAGAUAUGAGUAGAACAACACCAGGUCUGUAAGGGUCCUGUGUGUAGCUGGUGUAGAGAGUCAGGUGCAGGACAGCAGAUAUGAGUAGAACAACACCA